ACGUACGCUGGCGGCACGCCUAACACAUGCAAGUCGAACGAAGUAGCAAUACUUAGUGGCAGACGGGUGAGUAACAUGUGGGUAUCUGCCCUUUGGCCUGGAAUAACACGAGGAAACUUGUGCUAAUACCGGAUAAGUCUUUACGGAGAAAGCUUUAUGCACCAUUGGAUGAGCCCGCACUUGAUUAGUUUGUUGGUGGGGUAAUGGCCUACCAAGACUGUGAUCAAUAGCUGAUUUGAGAGGAUGAUCAGCCACAUUGGGACUGAGACACGGCCCAAACUCCUACGGGAGGCAGCAGCGGGGAAUCUUGCACAAUGGAGGAAACUCUGAUGCAGCGAUGCCGCGUGAGUGAAGAAGGCCCUUGGGUUGUAAAGCUCUUUCGUCGGGGAAGAAAAUGACUGUACCCGAAUAAGAAGGUCCGGCUAACUUCGUGCCAGCAGCCGCGGUAAUACGAAGGGACCUAGCGUAGUUCGGAAUUACUGGGCUUAAAGAGUUCGUAGGUGGUUGAAAAAGUUAGUGGUGAAAUCCCAGAGCUUAACUCUGGAACUGCCAUUAAAACUUUUCAGCUAGAGUAUGAUAGAGGAAAGCAGAAUUUCUAGUGUAGAGGUGAAAUUCGUAGAUAUUAGAAAGAAUACCAAUUGCGAAGGCAGCUUUCUGGAUCAUUACUGACACUGAGGAACGAGAGCAUGGGUAGCGAAGAGGAUUAGAUACCCUCGUAGUCCAUGCCGUAAACGAUGUGUGUUAGACGUUGGAAAUUUAUUUUCAGUGUCGCAGCGAAAGCGAUAAACACACCGCCUGGGGAGUACGACCGCAAGGUUAAAACUCAAAUGAAUUGACGGGGACCCGCACAAGUAGUGGAGCAUGUGGUUUAAUUCGAAGAUACGCGCAGAACCUUACCAACACUUGACAUGUUCGUCGCGACUCUAAGAGAUUAGAGUUUUCGGUUCGGCCGGACGAAACACAGGUGCUGCAUGGCUGUCGUCAGCUCGUGUCGUGAGAUGUUGGGUUAAGUCCCGCAACGAGCGCAACCCUCACUUUUAGUUGCCAUCAUUAAGUUGGGCACUCUGAAAGAACUGCCAGUGAUAAGCUGGAGGAAGGUGGGGAUGACGUCAAGUCCUCAUGGCCCUUACGUGUUGGGCUACACACGUGCUACAAUGGUAUCUACAACAGGAAGCAAGACUGCGAGGUCAAGCAAAUCCUUAAAAGAUACCUCAGUUCGGAUUGCACUCUGCAACUCGAGUGCAUGAAGCUGGAAUUACUAGUAAUCGUGGAUCAGCGUGCCACGGUGAAUGCGUUCCCGGGUCUUGCACACACCGC
Molecule: ribosomal RNA, 1317 nt
Filed under: uncultured bacterium
Lineage: Bacteria
Description: bacterial SSU rRNA
Rfam family: Bacterial small subunit ribosomal RNA
Source: RNAcentral